CCUACGGGCGGCAGCAGUGGGGGAUAUUGCACAAUGGAGGAAACUCUGAUGCAGCGACGCCGCGUGAGUGAAGAAGUAUUUCGGUAUGUAAAGCUCUAUCAGCAGGGAAGAUGAUGACGGUACCUGACUAAGAAGCCCCGGCUAACUACGUGCCAGCAGCCGCGGUAAUACGUAGGGGGCAAGCGUUAUCCGGAUUUACUGGGUGUAAAGGGAGCGCAGGCGGUUUGGCAAGUUGAGAGUGGAAGCAGGGGGCUCAACCCCCUGACUGCUCCCAAAACUGUUAAACUUGAGUAUGGGAGAGGCAGGCGGAAUUCCUAGUGUAGCGGUGAAAUGCUUAGAUAUUAGGAAGAACACCGGUGGCGAAGGCGGCCUGCUGGACCAAAACUGACGCUGAGGCUCGAAAGCGUGGGUAGCAAACAGGAUUAGAUACCCGGGUAGUC
This 440-nucleotide ribosomal RNA is filed under the name uncultured Catonella sp. RNAcentral describes it as "bacterial SSU rRNA". It matches the Rfam family "Bacterial small subunit ribosomal RNA", at positions 338 to 795 of the family's 1533-position model. The record is from RNAcentral. Lineage: Bacteria; Bacillati; Bacillota; Clostridia; Lachnospirales; Lachnospiraceae.